This is a ribosomal RNA of 859 nucleotides. It matches the Rfam family "Bacterial small subunit ribosomal RNA", at positions 63 to 936 of the family's 1533-position model.
CGAACGGAAAGGCCCUUCGGGGUACUCGAGUGGCGAACGGGUGAGUAACACGUGGGUGAUCUGCCCUGCACUUUGGGAUAAGCCUGGGAAACUGGGUCUAAUACCGAAUACACCCUUCUGGCUGCAUGGUCUGGGAGGGGAAAGCUUUUGCGGUGUGGGAUGGGCCCGCGGCCUAUCAGCUUGUUGGUGAGGUUACGGCUCACCAAGGCGACGACGGGUAGCCGGCCUGAGAGGGUGACCGGCCACACUGGGACUGAGAUACGGCCCACACUCCUACGGGAGGCAGCAGUGGGGAAUAUUGCACAAUGGGCGCAAGCCUGAUGCAGCGACGCCGCGUGAGGGAUGACGGCCUUCGGGUUGUAAACCUCUUUCGCCAGGGACGAAGCGCAAGUGACGGUACCUGGAGAAGAAGGACCGGCCAACUACGUGCCAGCAGCCGCGGUAAUACGUAGGGUCCGAGCGUUGUCCGGAAUUACUGGGCGUAAAGAGCUCGUAGGUGGUUUGUCGCGUUGUUCGUGAAAACUCACAGCUCAACUGUGGGCGUGCUGGCGAUACGGGCAGACUGGAGUACUGCAGGGGAGACUGGAAUUCCUGGUGUAGCGGUGGAAUGCGCAGAUAUCAGGAGGAACACCCGUGGCGAAACGGGUCUCUGGGCAGUAACUGACGCUCACGAGCGAAAACGUGGGGAGCGAACAGGAUUAUAUACCCUGGUAGUCCACGCCGUAUACGGUGGGUAGUACGUGUGGGUUUCCUUCCUUGCGAUCCGUGCCGUAGCUAACACAUUAAGUACCCCGCCUGGGGAGUACGGCCGCAAGGCUAAAACUGAAACAAAUUGACGGGGGCCCGCCCAAGCACCGCA